GAGAUUUUAUACACUUCAAGAACAGCAAGUUAUAGAAUCACAGAUCCAUGGCUUGGAUUUGGACUUCUCUAGCCUUUGUUGCACUUAUCUUUCUGCUCCGAUGGUUAAGCACCGAGAAUAAGAGACUACCGCCUGGUCCAAGAGGGUUUCCAAUUUUUGGAAGUCUUCAUUUGUUAGGGAAGUUCCCUCAUCGAGCUCUUCAUCAGCUUGCUCAAAGAUAUGGCCCCAUCAUGCAUUUGCGGCUAGGCCUGGUGUCGACCAUUGUUGUCUCUUCGCCUGAAGCUGCCGAGUUAUUUCUCAAGACCCAUGACCUAGUUUUUGCUGGCAGACCACCUCACGAGUCUGCAAGGUACAUCUCUUAUGGACAAAAAGGCAUGGCUUUUGCACAAUACGGUUCGUAUUGGCGCAGCAUGCGUAAGAUGUGCACAGUGGAGUUGCUUAGUAGCUUGAAAAUUACAUCUUUCAAGGCAAUGAGAAUGGAGGAGCUUGAUCUGUUGAUUAAGUACAUUCAAGAAGCUUCACAGGAACGUGUUGCUGUCGAUCUGAGUGCCAAGGUUUCGUCCCUCAGUGCUGACAUGACCUGUAGAAUGGUGUUUGGGAAGAAAUAUUUAGAUGAGGAUCUUGAUGAGAGGGGAUUCCAAUCUGUGAUGCAAGAGGUCAUGCAUUUAUCAGCAGCUCCACACUUGGGAGAUUACAUUCCUCAAAUCGCAGCUCUUGAUCUCCAGGGACUGACAAGACGCAUGAAGGCUAUUUCCAAAGUGUUAGAUGUCUUUCUUGACAAGAUUAUUGACGAGCAUGUACACUACCAGGAGAAGGGCAAAAACAAGGACUUUGUUGACGUCAUGCUAAGUUUCAUGAAAUCCGAAGAAAACGAGUACCUCGUCGAUCAAGGCUGUAUGAAAGCCAUAAUGGUGGUAAAUGAGCAUUUUAUCUCUUAAUCUUGAUAUUGAAAGAGUUAAAUUAACAACACAAUAAUGGUAGCACAUUACUAAUCUAAAUAUCUUUAUGCUCCUGCACAUGACAUUUUGCAGGACAUGCUUGUGGCUUCUGUGGACACUUCAGCAACUAUGAUUGACUGGGCAUUCUCAGAACUGAUAAAAAAUCCACGGGUUAUGAAGAAACUGCAAAAAGAACUAGAAGAAGUAGUGGGAAAGCAAAGGAUGGUGGAGGAAUCAGACUUGGAGAGGUUGGAGUACCUAGACAUGGUUGUGAAGGAAACCUUGCGGCUCCAUCCAGCGGGUCCUCUGAUGAUCCCUCAUGAGGCCACGGAGGACUGCGUUGUGAAUGGCUUCCACAUACCAAAGAAAUCACAUGUUAUAAUCAAUGUAUGGGCCAUUGGUCGAGACCCAGAAGCUUGGACCGAUGCAGAAAAGUUUUACCCGGAGAGGUUUGUUGGCAGUGACAUAGAUGUUCGGGGCCGCGACUUCCAGCUUAUUCCUUUUGGCACUGGCCGCAGAAGCUGCCCUGGAAUGCAAUUAGGGCUGACUGUGGUGCGGCUGGUGGUUGCGCAGCUGCUGCAUUGCUUUGACUGGGAACUUCCAAAUGGAAUAUUGCCAUCUGAAGUGGACAUGACAGAAGAGUUUGGUCUCGUACUCUGCAGGUCCAAGCAUCUACUAGCUAUUCCUACAUAUCGCCUUAACAAAUGAAGCUAAAUGUGUCAGUGUCUUGUUUUAGAUCAAAAUAAUGUUCCUUCAGGGAUUCUGUGUGCUUUCUUGUUCAUCACACUCUUUAAAGGAUUUUACCAUCUUUUUAAGAGCAAAUAAACGAGGUAUAUGCCAUUUCUUUUGGAAAACUAGAUAAUUUAUUCUCUGUCCGACCGAUGGAAGAAGAAAACAUAUAAAAGCACCGUUAGACUUGAUGACUUUGUUUAUACAUAGCACUAGCGAUUCAUAGACACAGCAUGAUCGUUUGCUUUAUGCAUAACAAGUGUUAAUAAAUCAGAAGCAAAUCUAGCUGUUUCUCAACUAGGUGUGACUAUGGCCUCCAAAACCAAGGUCAUAGAAAGCAUGAAAAACAGAAGAGUUUAAUAUUUUAUUAAAUAAAUAUUGAAUGAUAAAAUAAAAAAAAAAUUAUUUAAAAAAAAUGAUAAAAAACUAAAACAAUCUUAAGCAAAUCUCAUGAAAGUUCAAACCAAUUACAAAUUAAAUCGGGUAAAAAAAUACUGCUUUUGAAAAUUUUGCAAAGCAAAAAUAUACUAAUUAAAAGAAUAAGAAUGAAAUCUAUCAGGAAAAAAAUUUAUGGAGGGUGAAUCGAAAAAAAAAACGCAACUCGAAAAAUUAUAUUAGACUACAAAAAACAACAAUAAAAAGAAUAGAGAUCAAAUUUGACAAAAACAAAAAAUUAAAUGAGGAUGAAAUCGAAAGAAAAAUAUAAUUCAAUAAAUUAUUUCAAAAAAAAUAUAAUAAAAAAGAAAGGACUAAAUAAAAAAGAAAUAGAUGUUUAAAGGUUGACUUGAAAAAUUAGAUGGCAGGGCGCAAACACCGAGAAAAAGAAAGGAAAGAAAGAAGAAAAAAAAGAAAUGAUGGACGGUGACAAAUUUGACCUCUUAUCAGUGGACAUAAAACAUAUUCAGUGAGGAAACACUGAGACAAAGCUGAAGCCAUCUUUAAAGAGCUUUUUUGGCCUUGGAAUUUCAGCCUCACAUCUUGUUCGAAGAUGGCCGAGCAGCCGUGUCUAUUUUUUUUUACUUAUUAAAAUGCUCAAAUGACCACACCCCAACCAAUAUAUAUAUAUAUAGAGAAACAAAUAAUGAAAUGACACAAUUAAAUACUUUUUAACCUAAGAGCUAAAUUAUAUGAUAUCAAGGAUGCCAAUGUCUUUUUACCAUGCCACAAUAUUGAUAAUAAUGAAAAGGCCUUUAUAUAGUUUUUUAUUUUAUUUUAUUACAGGAGUAAAAAUGUUAUUUUACUAUAUAUUUUUAAUUGAAAAUGAAAAAAUAAGUAGAAGCUUAAAAUUUUAUUUCUUAUAAGUGUAGUGUUAUAAAUUCACUGUAAAACUAAACACAAAAUACAUGUACUGUCUCUAAUCAAUUAUAAAACACCAAAUUAUCACAAUACAAAAACUAUUUUACCCUCAAACACAUCAUAAAGAGCUUUUUUUUUUUUUUAAGGCCAAGAAGGAGAAUUAUUGUUCCUCUUCACAAUGAACUGUAACUUUGUUUUCUCCAUCUUUUUAGUUUUUUUUAGAAAAAGUAAGGGUUUGUUGGUAAAUAACCAUAAGUUCUUGGGAACUUUUGAGAAAUAAAAUAAACGAAAAGAAAAAAAGGUGAAUUCUUAAGGAAGUGGAACCUUUUGAUCUCGAGUCAGACCAACGACCAUUGUUCAAUGGGUACACUUCGAGAUUAUUUUUCUAAAUUAAAUUUUAGAACCUGACUUGUUAAUUAAAACACCACUAAACUGAUCUUUCAUUAUAUUUUAUAUAUUCUUAAAUUUUUUAUUUGAUUCUUUAUACAAUCGGAGAGGCAUCAUGGAAUCAGGCUGCGAGACACAUGAUUUCAAAAAUAGGUGCUCGGACAAAAAGGGCCUGGUGGUGCUCCCUCUCCCUCCUUGUGCUUCACGCGUGUGGAAUACGUUGAUGACCUGUAUAUCUGCUCUGCGGGCUGGCAUGCCAGUUGUCAUACAGACAUUAUUGUUUUCAGCCUGCAACAGCAAGGAGGAUAAGAUGUAAGGAAAAAAAAUAAAAUCCAGGAAGCCCAAAUAAUAUUAAAUUAGAUGAACAUCAAUUUAAUUUAACUUAAACAAAGAAAAAGAAAUGGAAAGGUGUUGGUGGUUAUCUGUGCCGACAAAUCUAGAUUUCCGAAAGCUUACGGCACUUUUGCUACUUUGCACUUAAUUUUAGUCUUUAAUGCUAAAUAAAAUACAGAACUCUGAGACAACAAGGAAAAUAAAUAAUAAUACGUUCAAGAAUUUACGUGGUUGACUAAAAAUUAGAUUAAUUUGCUUACGAGAAAAAAUUUACUAUAUAAUAUAAAAAUCAGAAUAAUAUUUUAUUAAUAGAAAAACAAUUAAUAAUUUCUCUUCUAAUAAAAGUAAACAUUCUAGAGCUUCUCUCACAAAUAUCUCAUAUAUUUCAUUGGAUUACUCUCCUUUUGUCUCUCCUAAACGGUGUGUUUUGAAAGGCAUGAGAUGCAACCUAACCUAUUUAUUGUUGGCUGGGCAUCCCAUCCUUCUCCACAGAAAGAAAUGGGGCGCACCGUUUCUAAUUGUUGGUCGACUCUCGGUGCAUUAAAUGUUGGAUAAUAUCAAUUAGCUUUUGUAUUUUUGUCAGAGGCAGCGCAGGCUCGAAAUUACUGAAUUAUAAUCCUUUUUCUCUACUCUAACGUGUGAAAACAUUACUGAAUUAUAAUUCUUUCAGGCUUCGAUUCCUAAGUCACAAUAUCCAAGUAAAUAAAAGGGUAGAGAUUUUAUACACUUCAAGAACAGCAAGUUAUAGAAUCACAGAUCCAUGGCUUGGAUUUGGACUUCUCUAGCUAGCCUUUGUCGCACUUAUCUUUCUGCUCCGGUGGUUAAGCACCGAGAAUAGGAGACUACCGCCUGGUCCAAGAGGGUUUCCAAUUUUUGGAAGUCUUCAUUUGUUAGGGAAGUUCCCUCAUCGAGCUCUUCAUCAGCUUGCUC
Molecule: long non-coding RNA, 4613 nt
Filed under: Populus tremula
Lineage: Eukaryota; Viridiplantae; Streptophyta; Magnoliopsida; Malpighiales; Salicaceae
Description: long non-coding RNA (PTRE_LNC003401)
Source: RNAcentral